GAGAGAGACAUGCGCAGUGAGUGCCUCCCGUCUCUUCUACCCGAACCCCCCCUCCCCCCCCCAGCAGAGAGACCCCAGCAGCAGCAGCAGCUGAUGAUGAAGAGAGAGGCAGUGGCAGAGGGGGGGCACCUUUUAUUUCUAUUUUUAAAGGGACAGGACACUAAUUUUACCCCACUUCAACCUUGAAUUGAGGGGGGUGGGGGGAAGGCGGCUGAGUUCCUUCCCCCACCCUCCAGCCCUGAGACCUGAGAGGGGGAUUGAGCCUGAGAGAGAAGAAGAAGGAGUUUCUUCUUCUUCGAAAACCCCCAUCCACGACUCCUACCCCCUCACCCCUCCACUAGCCUCCCUCCCGAGCCCCCUCCACCCUCCUCCUCUUUGGCCGUGAGAGGAGGAGAGAAAGAGACCAAAAGCCUCUUAGCAACACAGACCCUUCUCUGCUGCUGCUGCUGCUGCUACUGCUGCUGCUGCUUGGCCCUGGCUGGAGACAUCUCACUACACCCAGGAGCAGCCACUUCCCCAGCUCUCCUCCUCCUUCGCCUCCUCCUCCUCCACUCCCCCCCCUUUAUUACCCUUUGUGUCAUCCUCCACAGCUCCAGGGAAGGCACUCAAAAGUGGGGGGCAGGAAAGGAAUAGAGAGCAGCUCUGACCAUCUUUAUGUCUUCUUAGAAAGUCUUCCACAAACAUCAGCCAGAACUUCUAAGACUACACACAUGAGCAUGUACUUACUUUCAACAAAGACCAAGAUUCUUAGUAUCCUGGGAGUUUUAGUGCUACCCUCUGGCCUGUCAACCACAACUCCUAGUCCCUCUUGACCUCAGAAGGGAGCAAAGGUGGGUGUCUGAUCCUUCCAGGAUUUCA
This 858-nucleotide long non-coding RNA is filed under the name Lynx canadensis (Canada lynx). RNAcentral describes it as "lncRNA (ENSLCNG00005010196.1)". Lineage: Eukaryota; Metazoa; Chordata; Mammalia; Carnivora; Felidae. The record is from RNAcentral.